This 6463-nucleotide long non-coding RNA is filed under the name Sus scrofa (pig). RNAcentral's name for it is "lncRNA (ENSSSCG00015060821.1)". Lineage: Eukaryota; Metazoa; Chordata; Mammalia; Artiodactyla; Suidae. The record is from RNAcentral.
UUUUUUAUUUUCUGCUUCAUAAAAUUUUCUACCUUUCUCACAUUGUCUAGAAUGAUCAUUAUUACUUUUAUUUGCAGAAAAAUAUUAAGUGUUAUAAUGAAAUGCUUGCAGGGGCUUUAAAAAGGUGAGAAAUAGCAGAGUAUUUAUUUCCUGUCCCGAGUAUAAUAUGAUAGCUGUAAUAGUCGUUAAGAGUUCUGUCCCAAGAACUUGACCCAGGGUAAAGUCUUCCUUCCUCUUCCCAUUCUAUCUGAUUCUCCCGACGUGAUUCCCACCCACAAUACACAUUAAUUUUAAUAAAAGCAUAUAAUUAAGUACAGGCUCUAAACACUGUCCCAGGUCAAUAGGACCUAGAAGAAUUAUAGAAGGUGUCACGAGAAGGCAACACUGAGCUGAAUCUUAAAGAAUUCAGAGGAGCAUGAGAGAGAGAGGAUGUGAAUCCAAAGUCCUUCAAAUUACCUUAUUAUUCAUCUCUUCUCCAUCUGAUAGCUCUCAGUGUUGGAAAACUGCCUCAACACCAAGUAUCCCAGGAGACGCAUAUAUGACUACAGAGUACUGAAAUAUAUUGAAACAUAUUUAAACGUGCACACGAAUAUUUCAUUGCAUGUAUUUUUAAGUUUUCAAAUUCCUACCCCAACAGAAAGAUUUCAAGGCCAACACUCUGUAAGGUAUCCCAGGAACACUGCUGGUGGCGUAACUUUCACGGCAAGCCAUUUGGCAACAUUUUUCAAAAUUACAAGUGUACAAACCCUUUGACCCAGCGAUUCUAUUUCUGGAAAUUUUUUCUAAGACUCAGACAUGUGUGAAAAAAGUCUUUGUAAUUGCAAAAUCUGGGAACAACCUAAAAACCCCAUCACAGCACAGAGGUUAAAUAGUGAUGGGUACAUAAAAUGGAAAAAUGAUUGAGGAGGCCCUAUGUACGCUGAGAUGCAUGGCUUCCAGGAUAAGAGACACAACAGGAGUGGCAUAUCAGGUGUGUGGGAACAUUUGGGGGGAGGGAUAUAUACAUUUGUUCCUAUGCAAAGUAUGUCUGGAAGAUCACAUUAAAAAUUAGUAACAGUUAACCUCUAAGAGGGGUACUUGAGGCUGAAGAUCAAGGGUACCUAUAAAAUUCUUCAUUACGUUUCUCUUUCAUCCAUUCAAACAAAAAUACGUAUCCCUUAAAUUUCCAAAGAAAUUUUAUCCAUUUAUCUCUCCCUCCAAAGAAAACUUCAAAGCCAAGACUUUACAUAAUAAAAUAGCCACUCAUGUGAACUUGGAAAGUCUGCCAAAGUUCACGGAACUGUCAUCCUGUCAUUUUUUAAAUGGUUAAUAUGUCAAACUCUCUGUAAAGCCGUUACCUGCUUUCUAGUUUAAGUAUAAAAUUUCUAAAAAUGCCUAUGAGACAGCUCCUAAAAAGAAAAUAAUACUCGGAUUUUGUUUGAUGUUCUCCAAAUACAGAAAACACUCUUCCUAUGACAGGAAACUCAACUUCAAAAGCCACUGUGUGGGAACUCUUGUUCCUGGGGACCCAUGUGUAUUAGCCACUCGGGGAGGGGAAGGGCAAACAAUCCUACCUGCCAGUGUGUCUGCCAACAACGCUGUGUGACAUUUUCUCACUGCAGGCAACCAGUCACAGCUCUAGUUGAUGGCAUUUUGGCUUCAUACUUAAUUCUAAGACAUCCCUGAGGCUGCGCCCAAGAAUAAAAGUUCUCUGCAGACCAUCCUCCCAAAUAAGCACCACGUAGCCAUAUGCCUGUGUUGCUAUAGAUCUGCGGCAAUCAGGAAAGACGCCCGAGAAACAAUCUUUGAGCAGCUUGGAACAAAGGUGCAGUCAGGCCCCAGCUUCCCAGCUAGAAGGGGCCAUGGGGCUACCUCACUCCCUUACCAGCCACAUCUGCAAUCGCCUCUACAACAUCCCCAAAGCCACUCGAAUUAUGUUCACACACUCCAGCUUCCACGUUCUUCCAUAUGCACAGCUUCACCUCUGCUUGAGGUUUCUCAGAAUCAGGGCCAUCCUUGCAGCAAUGCUGUCUUCCUGCAACUCAGCAAAUGACAACGCUUCCUGGGUUCCGAAGACAAGCGGCUCCCUGUAUGCAGUGCUUACCCAUCUCUCAAGAAGUACAACAUCCUAAGGCAUCAGGACCACCAAGGGGCAGACUGAAAUGAAUACUCAGCAGUCAAUCCACCCCAGGUCUCAUCCCAUUUCAGUGUCUAGAAGGAGCCUUGGCUGUCACAGAAGGGGAUACGGGAUAACUUGCUAUAGUCCAUCUAAGGUCUUUGUUAGAAAGUCUGAGGGAAACCUGAAGCCAGCCAGGACCGCCCUGGUCUGAAAGCACAACAUCUGCAGGACACGUGGUACCUCGGGUCUCAGCAUCGCUAACAUGAGGAAAACACAGACCCAUUCCAGAGAACGGCGGUGAGCAUUAGAGGAGAGACUAAAAAACAUCUGGCCCUUGGUAAUUACGCAUUACUGUGAGAAACUGCACAAAACACUAACAAUAAAGGAUUCACCAUGCUCAAGAGUAAGUGGAGAAAACGCAAUACAGUAAAGAUUAAAAUCUAUUCUAACGGACAGGCUGUGCAGUUUUAAGUCAACACCAAAGUUCAAGGACUGUUGUGGCAAACAGUGAGAUUCGCCCGGCAGAACUAGGCCAAAAGGUUAAAUUUUCUUUUCAUAAUUUAAUAAUAUUACAAUGUGACUAUAAAAAUAUUACAGCCUCAUAAACCCUGGAGGGCUGGUUAAGCAGAAAACUUAAUCAAUGAAAACACAGUAAGAAUUCUGUGAAUAAGUAGCCAUAAACUCUUUUUUUGCCACAGCAACGCAGGAUCUAAAAUGUCCUGUGAUCUACACCAGAGCUCACAGCAACACCGGUUCCUUAACCCACUGGGCCAGGCCAGGGAUCAAACCUGUGUCUUCAAGGAUACUAGCUGGGUUCAUUACUGCUGAGCCACGACGGGUACUCCCAGCCACAAACUCUUGAAGAAGGGAUUCUAUUCAUGUUCAUCCCUGUUGAGUUUCCACCUAACACUGCCUGGAAGGUACUAGGCGCCUAACAAACAUUUGUUAAGGAAAUGAACUGGGAACACCAGGUGUAGUGUAGGAAACAUUAAAGUCAUUUUUCAUGCCAUAUACUCAAUUCUAAGAGCAAUUAUUGUGAAAUUAUUUUAUUGUUUGGUUGAGUCUGGGCUUGAAAGACGAGAUCUGGGUUUCAUCCAGUUGUGUUCCUUACUAGCCAGGCGAAUAGUGUACGCUCGCUAAGUCUGUCGUCCCUGAGGCAAGAUAAGCUUCAUCUUGCGAUAAGUCAACUCAUAGGAUGGCAAGAAUUAAGUGAGAAAAGUAUAUUUGUAAUAUUAAGUAUUUUUACUUAAAAGCUAAGGAAAAUGACAGGCAUUUUAAUCUAAGCUUUGGAGGAAAUACAGCCUCUGAAGGUGUGGGAAUUAUCAAAAACAAAGGCAGAGUUAUUUGAUUAUGUGAACGUGUGACAUAAUGAACCACAGCACAAUAAUGUUAAAAAUAACAAUAUCGGAGUUCCCUGGCGGCCUAGCGGGUUAAGGAUCUAGCAUUGUCACUGCUGUGCUGCAGGUUUGAUCCCUGGACCUGUGAACUCCUGCACAUGAUGGGCAUGGCCAAUAAAUAAAUAAUAAAUAAAUAAAUAAGACUAAAAAAAAACCAGUAUCGUAGAAAACACAUACGUGGAAAACAUAAAUGGAACAGUGAUAUCAUUCUUCUAUCAAUUACUUACAUAAGAUACAAGCAGAUUUCCCUCAAAGUUUUUUAACAAGACAGUACAAACAUUAAUGAGAAGUUAUUGAAAUUUAUAAUUUAAAAAACCUCCUAACUACUAUAUAUAAAAUAAAUAACGAGGUUCAACUGAAUAGUACAGGGGACUACAUUCAAUAUUUUUAAUAACCUAAAAUGUCAAAGAAUAUAUAUGUGUGUGUGUGUGUGUGUGUGUGUGCGUGUGUAACUGAAUCACUUUGCUGUAUUCCAGAAACAGAAUACUGUAAACCAGCUAUACUUCAAUUAAUUUCAAUAAUCUAUAUUAUCAACAAUCUAUAUCAGUAGGCUAACUCUACAAAAAUAAACAAAGCAUCUCAAAUGAAGAUUCCAACCAAAAAACCCAAAAUCCAAUUAAUGGAGUCACCUUGAGUUUUAAAUUCAAACUGUGAAAAAUAAUCACCUUGAUUUCUAUUUAGAGAAACAUACCACUAAAACUAAAAUUUACAUACUUUGUGUCCAAAACAAUACUAUUAGCAAUAAGAUGGCAAGCACUAGUUAGUGUUUACUGUGGCACUAUUUUAAGUACUUCAUAAGAACUAACUUAUUAUAUCUUCAAAAUAAUCUCCAACAGUAAGAGGUAAUCUGACCUGAAGACAUACUGAGUGCUGGGGUUGGUGGGGGUUAAGAUCUUGAAAGGUAUUUUAGACACGGCUUCUUUGACACAGCUCAGUAAUCAGAAGGACUAAACCUUAUUUAAACACAGCCAUAAAUUUAUCAUCAGCUGCCCCCUUCCAUGCUUAUCUCCACUGUGCAGGUGUGUAUUUGCAAGACAAGAUAAACUCUACAGUUUAAGGAGCAGAAAAAUCAAAAACACCUUUGCAUGUUCACUUCAAAUCAUCUCGGUUCAGGAUUGAUGCAGUUCCGCCAACUCCCCAGGAACCCAUUCUUUCCUCUCCAAGUGCAGCACCUCAGUAAGUCCUCUUGGGCUCCUACUAUUGUAACGUCGAUCAAUGAACAACCAGUGGGGGCAAUCGGCAAAAAUCACAUGACAUAUUUAGCUGCAGGAAGAGCAGAGACUAACACCCGCAAUGAUCAUGAGUUAUUUCAUUUUAGCUGCACAUAAAAUAUUUCUAUCUGUUCAGGGGCAAAUGUACCUGAUGUCACCUACUCCAGUAAGGUUUGCCUUAUGUCUUUUCAGUUGUCUAUUGUAGUUCACGGUUGAGUCUCUGAGCUUUUCCAGUAAGAAUGGCUGGUUUCUGGGACUCUACCCGAUUUGAAUGCAGCGCAUUCUCAUUCCCGGGAAGUGUCUGAAAUAGUUGGAGACUCAGGGACCUUCCCCCAAAUGGAGAACUGGGAAAUGGGGCUUAGAAUGCUUCUAGUGAUGUCACUACUUCCCAGUUCCUUCCCAGUACUUCCAGAAAGGACGGAGGGUCAACGGAAGACUAAAGGCCUCCAACUCACAUUGCAGAACGUGCAGCACUGCCACGGGCUCCCCCGAGCCCUGCCUCUGAGAUGUUCUUCACACUGCGCUGUGGAAGUGACAAAAUAUAUGAGGACUGUGACCCCAGGCAAUCACCAGGUAUCCAGACAGGAACCCUUUCUCUCACUGCUGCAUCCAAGCCCCUCGCCCAGCCCUGGCAGUGGGCAUCUGCCCCAGACCUAUCAUGACUGGGAGCUCCUGAUGCCUUAGUCUUCCUGAAUCCCUACAGCAAGGUUCUGGAAGUCUGAUUUCUUCCCACGGAACCCAAACUGCCUCCUGCCCCCUAUCAUCUUCCCACAGCUGUCACAUCCAACUUAAGGCAACCAGAAGACAGGCCGCAUGGAAACAGGGCUUUCGGAAACAGGAAGUUCACAGACUGAGGUCCCAGCCCUGUCUCCAAAUGUAAAGGGGAGCACACCCAUCGCCACGGAGCAGUUCUCUCACCCCUCCACUAGACUGCAUAUUUCCAAGGUACUGCUCUGCUCCACCUCGGAGUGGCUGGUGAAUGAGGCACAGCCCCAGCCACAGCUGAGUUUCAUGGAGGGGAGACCAACAGGUAAAUAAGACUUAUUACACUCCAAGAAAAGGGUCCAGAAUUCUGGAGAUUGUUUCUGCAGGAAAUAAGGUCCAUACUGACCCUGAAGGAUAGGAGAAUCUAGAAUCAGCUUGGUUUAGGAGAAAAUAGCUCUCUUAGGGUAAGGAAGGGGGUUUGGCGUUUACACACGUAGGUGGUGAGGGAAGAUGGGGAGUUCAGGUUGAUUCAAGCCCCUAGUGUGUUGACCUCGAUAGGAAGUGACACCCUCCCUCCGGGAGGGAACACAGGAAAAGGAACAGGUUUCAGCAGAAAGCCCUUGCAUUUUGCGUGUGACAUUUUGAGUUUAAGAUAUGUGCAGUCAACCACAUGGAAAAUCCAGUGGGCAGCUGGAAUGUGGCUGCCUGAUGAGAGAGGGGUCUGAGCUACAGACGAGCUUAGAAAAAAGUGUCAGGAGGGCAGAGGAUCACAGGCUAGACCACACCUGCAUUCAACAGGUGACCAGCAGCGGCGGCCCUCAAAGGACAGUGAAAGGGAACAUUCGGGGGAGGAGGAAUGUCAGGAGAGCCCAAGAAGGGGAUGCUUCCAGGAGGCGGGCAUGGUCCAGGUGCAAUCCAAAGGAAGGGCAAAUCAGAUAAGGACUGAGGAGUAUCCACUGCAGCUGUUAGGAGACGGCUGGCCCCUCGGCAAAGGAGAAGGGCUGCCAGCCACACGCAAGGAGCCAGAGCCUGAAUGGGAGAGGCAGCCAGCC